Molecule: non-coding RNA, 520 nt
Organism: Xiphophorus couchianus (Monterrey platyfish)
Lineage: Eukaryota; Metazoa; Chordata; Actinopteri; Cyprinodontiformes; Poeciliidae
Source: the annotation of a RefSeq genome assembly
GGAGGAGAAAUGAGAGGCUUCUUCAGACGAUCCAAUCGGAUCAUCUCCAAAAUGAUUUUUGUGAUCUGCAUAUUUUUCUUCUUUCUUUUGCCGGGAAGCAAUGGCGCCUCUGACUCCAAAGAUGUCGACCAAACCCCUCCGUCCAUAAUUAAGAAAACUGGUGAAUCUGUGGACAAAGAGAUCAGAUGUUCACACAGCAUACCGAGCUAUCAAGUCAUUCUGUGGUACAAACAAGACAAGCACAAAGCUCUGAAGCUCCUGGGAUAUCUGAAUCUGGAAUAUCCUAACAUUGAAGAAGAUGUGAAAGGGAAAAUCAGUUUUGAAGGAGAUGGGCGCCAACAGUCCACCCUCACAGUUUCUAAUCUCACAGUAGACGACAGUGCUGUGUAUUUCUGUGCUGCCAGUCAGCACAGUGCAGCAGAAUACCCAGAAGUCAGUACAAAAACUCUGUAGAAAGAGAGAGAACAGCUGCAGUCAGCCUCCACGUCAGACUCACAGCGGCGCCGACUGGGUCGGACCA